GCCGGCGAGUGGCGAACGGGUGAGUAAUGUAUCGGAACGUACCUUUCAGUGGGGGAUAACGUAGCGAAAGUUACGCUAAUACCGCAUAUUCUCUGAGGAGGAAAGCAGGGGACCUUCGGGCCUUGCGCUGAUGGAGCGGCCGAUAUCAGAUUAGCUAGUUGGUGGGGUAAAGGCUCACCAAGGCUACGAUCUGUAGCGGGUCUGAGAGGAUGAUCCGCCACACUGGGACUGAGACACGGCCCAGACUCCUACGGGAGGCAGCAGUGGGGAAUUUUGGACAAUGGGCGAAAGCCUGAUCCAGCCAUGCCGCGUGAGUGAAGAAGGCCUUCGGGUUGUAAAGCUCUUUCGGACGGGAAGAAAUCAUGAGGGCUAAUAUCCCUUGUGGAUGACGGUACCGUAAUAAGAAGCACCGGCUAACUACGUGCCAGCAGCCGCGGUAAUACGUAGGGUGCGAGCGUUAAUCGGAAUUACUGGGCGUAAAGCGUGCGCAGGCGGUUUUGUAAGACAGGCGUGAAAUCCCCGGGCUCAACCUGGGAACUGCGCUUGUGACUGCAUCACUUGAGUACGGCAGAGGGGGGUGGAAUUCCACGUGUAGCAGUGAAAUGCGUAGAGAUGUGGAGGAACACCGAUGGCGAAGGCAGCCCCCUGGGUCGAUACUGACGCUCAUGCACGAAAGCGUGGGUAGCAAACAGGAUUAGAUACCCUGGUAGUCCACGCCCUAAACGAUGUCAACUAGGUGUUGGGUGGGUAAAACCAUUUAGUACCGUAGCUAACGCGUGAAGUUGACCGCCUGGGGAGUACGGCCGCAAGGUUAAAACUCAAAGGAAUUGACGGGGACCCGCACAAGCGGUGGAUGAUGUGGAUUAAUUCG
RNAcentral lists this ribosomal RNA (871 nucleotides) under Dechloromonas denitrificans. Its description in RNAcentral is "bacterial SSU rRNA". It matches the Rfam family "Bacterial small subunit ribosomal RNA", at positions 87 to 953 of the family's 1533-position model. Lineage: Bacteria; Pseudomonadati; Pseudomonadota; Betaproteobacteria; Rhodocyclales; Azonexaceae. The record is from RNAcentral.